This 804-nucleotide ribosomal RNA is filed under the name Leuconostoc palmae. Its description in RNAcentral is "bacterial SSU rRNA". It matches the Rfam family "Bacterial small subunit ribosomal RNA", at positions 51 to 837 of the family's 1533-position model. The record is from RNAcentral. Lineage: Bacteria; Bacillati; Bacillota; Bacilli; Lactobacillales; Lactobacillaceae.
AUACAUGCAAGUCGAACGCGCAGCGAAAGGUGCUUGCACCUUUCAAGCGAGUGGCGAACGGGUGAGUAACACGUGGAUAACCUGCCUCAAGGCUGGGGAUAACAUUUGGAAACAGAUGCUAAUACCGAAUAAAACUUCAUAUCGCAUGAUAAGGAGUUAAAAGGCGCUACGGCGUCACCUAGAGAUGGAUCCGCGGUGCAUUAGUUAGUUGGUGAGGUAAAGGCUUACCAAGACGAUGAUGCAUAGCCGAGUUGAGAGACUGAUCGGCCACAUUGGGACUGAGACACGGCCCAAACUCCUACGGGAGGCUGCAGUAGGGAAUCUUCCACAAUGGGCGAAAGCCUGAUGGAGCAACGCCGCGUGUGUGAUGAAGGCUUUCGGGUCGUAAAGCACUGUUGUAUGGGAAGAAAUGCUAAGGUAGGGAAUGAUCUUAGUUUGACGGUACCAUACCAGAAAGGGACGGCUAAAUACGUGCCAGCAGCCGCGGUAAUACGUAUGUCCCGAGCGUUAUCCGGAUUUAUUGGGCGUAAAGCGAGCGCAGACGGUUGAUUAAGUCUGAUGUGAAAGCCCGGAGCUCAACUCCGGAAUGGCAUUGGAAACUGGUUAACUUGAGUGUUGUAGAGGUAAGUGGAACUCCAUGUGUAGCGGUGGAAUGCGUACAUAUAUGGAAGAACACCAGUGGCGAAGGCGGCUUACUGGACAACAACUGACGUUGAGGCUCGAAAGUGUGGGUAGCAAACAGGAUUAGAUACCCUGGUAGUCCACACCGUAAACGAUGAACCUAGGUGUUAGGAGGUUUCCGCC